This 328-nucleotide ribosomal RNA is filed under the name uncultured bacterium. RNAcentral describes it as "bacterial SSU rRNA". It matches the Rfam family "Bacterial small subunit ribosomal RNA", at positions 568 to 898 of the family's 1533-position model. The record is from RNAcentral.
CGUGUAGGUGGGCUCCUAAGUCGGGGGUGAAAUCCCGUAGCUUAACUGCGGAAUUGCUUCCGAUACUGGGGGUCUUGAGUACGGCAGAGGGAGAUAGAAUUCAUGGUGUAGCGGUGAAAUGUGUAGAUAUCAUGAAGAAUACCGGUAGCGAAGGCGGUCUCCUGGUCCGUUACUGACACUGAGGCGCGAAAGCGUGGGGAGCAAACAGGAUUAGAUACCCUGGUAGUCCACGCCUUAAACGAUGGGUACUCGGUGCUGGAUCGCAAGGUUCAGUGCCAAAGCUAACGCAUUAAGUACCCCACCUGGGGAGUACGAUCGCAAGGUUGAA